Molecule: long non-coding RNA, 358 nt
Filed under: Fukomys damarensis (Damara mole-rat)
Lineage: Eukaryota; Metazoa; Chordata; Mammalia; Rodentia; Bathyergidae
Description: lncRNA (ENSFDAG00000032531.1)
Source: RNAcentral
GUCCCUGUCAGGUUUAAGAAACUCUCAAAUAUACCUAAUAAUUGAAUUGAUUUUUCAUACUUAUCAAUGGACAUUGAAGGUUGUUAAACAUUUUUUACACUUUGAACAUGUUCACAGGGCUGUUUGACAUUCUGUCAGUUGAUGUGCUAUAGUAGUCCCUCCUGAUCCACACUGGAUGCCUGAAAACAGGCCAUUAGUAAGUGAAGGAAGGGCUCCCUGCACACAAGCACAGUUACAGCGCCACAGAAGACCUGUUAGCUACCCAUUGCCUACCCAAGGAGAGAGAUUUCACCAUGCUGCUCAGGACUUAAAGCUUAUCGAAUGUGUACUUAUGGUACUUAAUAUUUUUAGGCAUCAG